This 547-nucleotide ribosomal RNA is filed under the name uncultured bacterium. RNAcentral describes it as "partial 16S ribosomal RNA". It matches the Rfam family "Bacterial small subunit ribosomal RNA", at positions 355 to 918 of the family's 1533-position model. The record is from RNAcentral.
UGGGGAAUAUUGCACAAUGGGCGAAAGCCUGAUGCAGCAACGCCGCGUGAGUGAUGAAGGCCUUCGGGUUGUAAAGCUCUGUCUUUUGGGACGAUAAUGACGGUACCAAAGGAGGAAGCCACGGCUAACUACGUGCCAGCAGCCGCGGUAAUACGUAGGUGGCAAGCGUUGUCCGGAUUUACUGGGCGUAAAGGAUGCGUAGGCGGAUUUUUAAGUGAGAUGUGAAAUACCGGGCUUAACUUGGGUGCUGCAUUUCAAACUAGGAAUCUAGAGUGCGGGAGAGGAGAAUGGAAUUCCUAGUGUAGCGGUGAAAGUGCGUAGAGAUUAGGAAGAACACCAGUGGCGAAGGCGAUUCUCUGGACCGUAACUGACGCUGAGGCAUGAAAGCGUGGGUAGCAAACAGGAUUAGAUACCCUGGUAGUCCACGCCGUAAACGAUGAGUACUAGGUGUAGGAGGUAUCGACCCCUUCUGUGCCGCAGUUAACACAAUAAGUACUCCGCCUGGGAAGUACGAUCGCAAGAUUAAAACUUAAAUGAAUUGACGGGG